ACCCUGGUACAUCAAAAAUGAAUCUACACAAAGCCAAGAUUAGCCCAGUAGUUGCAUUUAUCUCAAAAAUGUAUCAAAACGUUUCGACGAUCAACUAUCAUUCAAGCAGCAGGAUUCAGCAACUUUUUGAUACAUAUACAUUGACAAAAUGCAUGGUAAAGCAACAGCAUUAACGACUUUAUAAAUGUCAAGUGAAAUUUUACAAACAUAGUUUUACAACAAUUUUUUUAUAAUCAAUAAAAUGAAAC
This is a long non-coding RNA of Acyrthosiphon pisum (pea aphid), 248 nucleotides long. RefSeq lists it as uncharacterized. NCBI's taxonomy places the organism in Eukaryota, Metazoa, Arthropoda, Insecta, Hemiptera, Aphididae. The record is from RefSeq and is a predicted model, not a curated record. The transcript is spliced from 3 exons.